UUUUCAUAACACCGAAACGUUAUCAAAAAUUCAUUUUUCUUUACCUUACAUGCGAAAAGAUCAAAAUAAAAGUCUUUAAUACAUAAUAACUGCAAUUGUAUCUAGUAAAUAACACUAAACAUGUCUUAAAAUUAACAAAUAAUUAUAAAGGUAGAAAAAUUUAAUGAAAAAUUUAUUCUUUGUUACUACGAUCCACUUGGUAGUCCACAUCACCGCCCUUCCACAAUUCCAAUCGACCCAAACCACCCUGUAAAAAUUUGUAAGAGUGAGUAUUCGAAAACACCCAGUAAGAUACGUACAGUUUUCAUAUACAGAUAUAUAACAAUAAAAAUUAUACUUCAUACCAUCUGAUCUUAUAGAGUAUAUCGGUGACCAAGUGACUCACCCAUCUUAGGUCCUCUUAUAAUCUCGUAGAAUUUCAUAUCUCCUUAAAAAAAAUGAAUGUCUACUGACAAUCCAUGCAUUUUUAAUUGAAUAUAAACGCAUAAAGAAAUAAAAACACUUACACUUAAAGUAUCUUACUUCGUUGACCUGAAAAGUUGUAAUGGACCAAAAAAAUGCACAUUAAAACCCCUUUUAAUGUUUUCUUCUCUCUGACUUGACUAUUUAUUUUCUUUAGGUAAAAGCUUUCUG
This 633-nucleotide long non-coding RNA is filed under the name Olea europaea subsp. europaea. Lineage: Eukaryota; Viridiplantae; Streptophyta; Magnoliopsida; Lamiales; Oleaceae. The record is from RNAcentral.